AGAGUUUGAUCCUGGCUCAGAUUGAACGCUGGCGGCAUGCCUUACACAUGCAAGUCGAACGGCAGCACGAGAGCUUGCUCUUGGUGGCGAGUGGCGAACGGGUGAGUAAUAUAUCGGAACGUACCCUAGAGUGGGGGAUAACGUAGCGAAAGUUACGCUAAUACCGCAUACGAUCUACGGAUGAAAGUGGGGGAUCGCAAGACCUCAUGCUCAUGGAGCGGCCGAUAUCUGAUUAGCUGGUUGGUGGGGUAAAAGCUCACCAAGGCGACGAUCAGUAGCUGGUCUGAGAGGACGACCAGCCACACUGGAACUGAGACACGGUCCAGACUCCUACGGGAGGCAGCAGUGGGGAAUUUUGGACAAUGGGCGCAAGCCUGAUCCAGCAAUGCCGGGUGAGUGAAGAAGGCCUUCGGGUUGUAAAGCUCUUUUGUCAGGGAAGAAACGGUGGACUCUAAUACAGAUCACUAAUGACGGUACCUGAAGAAUAAGCACCGGCUAACUACGUGCCAGCAGCCGCGGUAAUACGUAGGGUGCAAGCGUUAAUCGGAAUUACUGGGCGUAAAGCGUGCGCAGGCGGUUGUGCAAGACAGAUGUGAAAUCCCCGGGCUCAACCUGGGAAUUGCAUUUGUGACUGCACGGCUAGAGUGUGUCAGAGGGGGGUAGAAUUCCACGUGUAGCAGUGAAAUGCGUAGAGAUGUGGAGGAAUACCGAUGGCGAAGGCAGCCCCCUGGGAUAACACUGACGCUCAUGCACGAAAGCGUGGGGAGCAAACAGGAUUAGAUACCCUGGUAGUCCACGCCCUAAACGAUGUCUACUAGUUGUCGGGUCUUAAUUGACUUGGUAACGCAGCUAACGCGUGAAGCAGACCGCCUGGGGAGUACGGUCGCAAGAUUAAAACUCAAAGGAAUUGACGGGGACCCGCACAAGCGGUGGAUGAUGUGGAUUAAUUCGAUGCAACGCGAAAAACCUUACCUACCCUUGACAUGUCUGGAAUCCUUGAGAGAUCAGGGAGUGCUCGAAAGAGAAUCAGAACACAGGUGCUGCAUGGCUGUCGUCAGCUCGUGUCGUGAGAUGUUGGGUUAAGUCCCGCAACGAGCGCAACCCUUGUCAUUAGUUGCUACGAAAGGGCACUCUAAUGAGACUGCCGGUGACAAACCGGAGGAAGGUGGGGAUGACGUCAAGUCCUCAUGGCCCUUAUGGGUAGGGCUUCACACGUCAUACAAUGGUACAUACAGAGGGCCGCCAACCCGCGAGGGGGAGCUAAUCCCAGAAAGUGUAUCGUAGUCCGGAUUGUAGUCUGCAACUCGACUACAUGAAGUUGGAAUCGCUAGUAAUCGCGGAUCAGCAUGUCGCGGUGAAUACGUUCCCGGGUCUUGUACACACCGCCCGUCACACCAUGGGAGCGGGUUUCACCAGAAGUGGGUAGCCUAACCGCAAGGAGGGCGCUCACCACGGUGGGAUUCGUGACUGGGGUGAAGUCGUAACAAGGUA
Molecule: ribosomal RNA, 1491 nt
Filed under: metagenome
Description: bacterial SSU rRNA
Rfam family: Bacterial small subunit ribosomal RNA
Source: RNAcentral